Molecule: long non-coding RNA, 267 nt
Organism: Prunus persica (peach)
Lineage: Eukaryota; Viridiplantae; Streptophyta; Magnoliopsida; Rosales; Rosaceae
Exons: 3
Source: RefSeq, a predicted model, not a curated record
GAUGAGCUUUAUCCGGGAGAAUUUAGUGAUUUGAGUAUAUGUAACUUAUACUCUGAGGAAACUUGUAAGCCAGUCUAUCCAAGAUUGAAUGAUCAGAAAUCUGAAAUGCCAGCUGCACGAUUUAACCAGCAGCCAGAUCAUGAUGUUUUGCAGGUUUAUCUAACAACAUGGCUUGCAGAGGUGAACAUAGAUUCUGAAAGGGUGGAUGAAAUAUUUGUGGAAGUUGGCGAUGAAAUGCAUGUUACGAUUUCGUGAGUUGCUGGCCUG